Molecule: unclassified non-coding RNA, 237 nt
Filed under: uncultured Jaminaea
Lineage: Eukaryota; Fungi; Basidiomycota; Exobasidiomycetes; Microstromatales
Description: sequence contains ITS2
Source: RNAcentral
ACACCUCAAACCCCAAUGUUUUGAAAGAAGCAUUGCUUGGGUUUGGUUCUUGGGCUGUUACUUUGCUGCUUAACUGUCAGCUAGCCUUAAAGAUAUUAGCUGGACUCGAGCUUUCGAGUGCCUUCAACGCUUGAUGUGAUAAAUGUUACGUCGUGCUUGAAAGCCUUGGAUAGCGAUUUUUCAGAGUCUGUUUCUAAUACGGCGAGAAGUCCUAGCACUUCGACCCAUUAUUUUAAC